UACGUAGGGGGCAAGCGUUGUCCGGAUUUAUUGGGCGUAAAGAGCGUGUAGGCGGCUUGGUAGGUCCGCUGUGAAAACUCGAGGCUCAACCUCGAGAUGUCGGCGGAAACCACUUGGCUAGAGUCCGGAAGAGGAGAGUGGAAUUCCUGGUGUAGCGGUGAAAUGCGCAGAUAUCAGGAAGAACACCUAUGGCGAAGACAGCUCUCUGGGACGGUACCGACGCUGAGACGCGAAAGCGUGGGGAGCGAACAGG
Molecule: ribosomal RNA, 253 nt
Filed under: uncultured bacterium
Lineage: Bacteria
Description: partial 16S ribosomal RNA
Rfam family: Bacterial small subunit ribosomal RNA
Source: RNAcentral